GAUGAACGCUGGCGGCGUGCCUAAUACAUGCAAGUCGAGCGAACGGACGAGAAGCUUGCUUCUCUGAUGUUAGCGGCGGACGGGUAAGUAACACGUGGAUAACCUACCUAUAAGACUGGGAUAACUUCGGGAAACCGGAGCUAAUACCGGAUAAUAUUUUGAACCGCAUGGUUCAAAAGUGGAAGACGGUCUUGCUGUCACUUAUAGAUGGAUCCGCGCUGCAUUAGCUAGUUGGUAAGGUAACGGCUUACCAAGGCAACGAUGCAUAGCCGACCUGAGAGGGUGAUCGGCCACACUGGAACUGAGACACGGUCCAGACUCCUACGGGAGGCAGCAGUAGGGAAUCUUCCGCAAUGGGCGAAAGCCUGACGGAGCAACGCCGCGUGAGUGAUGAAGGUCUUCGGAUCGUAAAACUCUGUUAUUAGGGAAGAACAUAUGUGUAAGUAACUGUGCACAUCUUGACGGUACCUAAUCAGAAAGCCACGGCUAACUACGUG
Molecule: ribosomal RNA, 497 nt
Filed under: uncultured bacterium
Lineage: Bacteria
Description: partial 16S ribosomal RNA
Rfam family: Bacterial small subunit ribosomal RNA
Source: RNAcentral